Molecule: long non-coding RNA, 365 nt
Organism: Calypte anna (Anna's hummingbird)
Lineage: Eukaryota; Metazoa; Chordata; Aves; Apodiformes; Trochilidae
Exons: 3
Source: RefSeq, a predicted model, not a curated record
AGCACUGGAUCAGAAGAGAUUUCAUGGACUUUGUAGUCUAGUUCCUUCCUGCAGGAGUUAAAACAGCUCACCAUUUGAGAAGCUGGUGGAAGCUCCCUGGGUUCCAAUCCCUGCCCCACCUCUGCCCAAGGCCAAGCAGAUAUGGGAAGCUGGAUGAGUCUCUGCGAGGAACAUACUCAAGAAAGGGAAAAUGAAACUGCAAAAAUAAGAAAAGGACCCACAGAGCAGAGUAGAGGAUGAAGUGAGAGGGCAAUGCCUGAGAAAAGACACCCAGACUAACAGAAGUUUGAAAUGGGAAGCUUUGUAUACAGGAAAAUUUGGACAUGGAUAUGGUGAUGAUUCUGCCAGAGGUACACCUCACUUCA